ACUCAUGUUUUCUUAAUUAAAUUGAUGAUUUAGAAAUACCCAUGGGCCUAAUACUCAAGGUAUACAAGGCCUUUCUUAAAAAUCACCGUAAAGAAGGACCUAGUAUUGUGAUGUGUCAAGCAUUAAAUCUCUCAUGCAUUAACUACCCCGGCCCUCUGCAUGCAUCGACCGGUCAAAAACUUAGUCUAACAUAUAGGGACUCCUAACAUGUAUCAGCUAGUUUGAGGUGAAAGUUGCUGAGAGAAGAGAAUGUACUUGUAUAUUGAAAUUUCAAUAUUUACAUCUCAAUUAGUACUUUUCAAAAAAAAAAAUAUUCCCUCCAAUCCAUAUUACUUGUCGAAAUAUUACAUGUAUUUAGACGCUUUUUAAACAUAAAUAUAUUCACAUUUAGUC
Molecule: long non-coding RNA, 393 nt
Filed under: Brachypodium distachyon (stiff brome)
Lineage: Eukaryota; Viridiplantae; Streptophyta; Magnoliopsida; Poales; Poaceae
Description: long non-coding RNA (BDIS_LNC003792)
Source: RNAcentral